AGAAGAGUGGCGAACGGGUGAGUAACACGUGGGUAACCUGCCCAUCAGAAGGGGAUAACACUUGGAAACAGGUGCUAAUACCGUAUAACAAUCGAAACCGCAUGGUUUUGAUUUGAAAGGCGCUUUCGGGUGUCGCUGAUGGAUGGACCCGCGGUGCAUUAGCUAGUUGGUGAGGUAACGGCUCACCAAGGCCACGAUGCAUAGCCGACCUGAGAGGGUGAUCGGCCACAUUGGGACUGAGACACGGCCCAAACUCCUACGGGAGGCAGCAGUAGGGAAUCUUCGGCAAUGGACGAAAGUCUGACCGAGCAACGCCGCGUGAGUGAAGAAGGUUUUCGGAUCGUAAAACUCUGUUGUUAGA
RNAcentral lists this ribosomal RNA (361 nucleotides) under Enterococcus faecium. RNAcentral's name for it is "bacterial SSU rRNA". It matches the Rfam family "Bacterial small subunit ribosomal RNA", at positions 89 to 443 of the family's 1533-position model. The record is from RNAcentral. Lineage: Bacteria; Bacillati; Bacillota; Bacilli; Lactobacillales; Enterococcaceae.